CGAGUUUAGGAAUGUAAUUUUGUUAAAAUUGCGCCUAAAGAGUCUAAUGCGUUAUUAUUUGAGGUAGGCCGUGAAAUUCGCUAAACGGCCCAUCCCGAGACCUAAAAUAUUUUAGUAUAAUAUUUAUUGAGGGACCCGUAAUUUUACAUUUUGUUCGGCGAGGCUCGUCUCAUUUUAUUUUUAAAAGGCAAACUUAACGUGACUAUGAUUUUCUGUUUUUGAUUUGUCUCUAGUAAUAAAAGAAAAGUUCUAAGCAAUUAUCUUAUUUGAAAGGCCAAAACUUAUGUAUUAAAUUCAAAUCAUUCUGGCUCGAUGCCCAUAUGAAUUUGGGCAGACAAAGAUUUGUUAAUUCAAACCAGCAAUUGCUGGCCCUUCAUGGAUUGGGCCUCAAAAGGGGAAGUCCGAUUUAAAUUUCCGCAUCAUUCAAAUGUAACUGGGGAUCGAGCCCAGCGAGGGUGCAACACAGCACCCAAACAAUUACAUGGUGACCUUUGCAUUCCAUUGUCGAUUCUAUUUUUCUUAUCUCUUGUUUUCGCCAGUUCAGAACAUAUGCGAGAUGAACAAUUCUACAAAAUUCACAUAGCUAAACACUUAAUUUGAUGCAUAUUGACAAACUAAAGUUCUGGAAAUUCAAGCAAACGGUCCAAUUAUCUAUUCCUUUAUUUGUAUCACUCCAAUUUAUAAGAAAUAUAUCACUUUUGAUUUCAGUCUUAUGCUAAGUCAUCUCACUUAUCUGCCUUCUGAUGGCUUCUUAGAGACCACUAAGUGAGAAGUAAAUUGGAAACAAUGGCUUAACUAACACAAGUAGACUGAUCAUUUUGGCAUUUAUUACUGAGUCACUGAAGUUAUCACUAAUUACAAUGAUAUAAAACUGUCCUAAGCAUGCGUCUAACUUGAACUUAACAAUUUAUUAUUAUUGCUAAGCUACAAUAGGUAUCAACUACACUGAAGCUGCACCUGAACAACUACAAAUUUAAACCAUCCAAAAUAGUCCCAAUUAAAACACAUUCCAGACAGAAUUAAACUACCAAUCUAACCUAUCCAACUACAAUUAAACAGUCCUUAACAUAAUGCAAAUCAACCAAAUUAAGACUAGGCAAUUACAUGUCAUUAUCCUGAUUAUAACCACAGACAAUUACAGGAGCAAAUACUUGAAAUAUGACUUCAUUGCAUUCCAAUUGAAAGUUACAUCAAGGCAAUUUCAAUUGUGUACCUGCAAUGGAAAGGAAUAGAAAUAAGUGAGAGGCAGCAGCAACAGUAAGCAGGGAUCAGCUAGCAGCCCAGAAUAUGAGCUCAAAAUCCAGGAAAAAUUCAAAAGCCAAGCAGAAACCAGAAGCUCAACCGUAAAAUACUUGAAUGCACCCAAAUAAACUCAAAAUCGAAUUCAAAACACUUCUGCAACUUCAGCAAAGCAAAACAUAACCAAAACCAACUCAAGCAGACCCAAAUCCACUCGAACCAGUUACCAAAUACUUCUAAAUGCUUUUUAAAACUCGAAAUUAGAACAGAAAUAGAGAGAUUCAAGUAGGAAUUGAAACUAGGCAAAGAAAUAGUAGACUGUUUUUUGAUUUUUUUCUGUUUUCUGGUGUUUUUGGAAUUUUGAAUAUUUGAAUUUCAAAAUGCAGAUCUGGAAAUUAGAGAGAGAGCUUUUAGGGGGAAUUUUUUUUGCCUGAAAACUUUGGGAAUUUUUCAGAGGGUCUAAACACCUGUAAAAGAAGGCAUUAGAGAUGUGUUUUAUUGGCAAGGAAUGGGGGGAAAUAUUUUCCUAUUUUCCCCUCUUUUUAUUUUCAGAAAUUGGACCUUAAUCCCUUAUUUUAUGGCUUCUUUCCCAAGUUACUGCAUAAAAAAUACAUAAACUUACACCAAGGCUCCCUUCUAGAAGGCCCUAGGGUGUUCUUACCUUGUUUUCCACCUAUGGAAUGCCUAUACUACCCUUACUUGAGUUCUAAAAUUACUAUGUCUUAACAAACCAGCCCUUUCCCAUGCCCAAAUUACCCUUGACUACUCCCUGAAAUUACUGACCAACCCAAACCCCUUUGCUUUAGAUAAAAUUCAACCAAUGUUAAUUGAAGGCUAAGUUAUUUAGAUAUAUCCUAACUAAUUUCAAAAUUCUAAGACUGAAUCCAAUUAAUGCUAAUUAAGACUGAAAAUUGAUCCUAAAUCCCACUACUAUCCAGUUAUCAACUAGCAAAGACUAAUUACACUUAAUCACUAAAAAUGAAUCAUCAAAGAAUCAGAAUUAACACUAUUAACUGAUCAGAAUGCAUAAAACAAGAUUAACUCAAAACUGAGCUAAAAAUCAGGAAAUUAACAAUCAAUAGAUACUAAUCAAUGGCCCAUUUACGAAUUAAGACUGACCUACUACGAGUUAAACUAACCUAAUAUGAGCAAACCUAAAUCGUGGAUAAAUUAACUAAAACUUAUGGAAACAUGCAUGAAUUGAUCAAACAAAGUUUAAACUAAUUAUAAGGUUCAAAUAAUAGAAGAAGCAAAAACAGAAAAACUUACUUAUGCAAGUUGAACCAACUGAACUCCAACUCGAGCCCCAGAAUAAUGUAUAUGUGUGUUCUUUAAUCCAAAAACAAGCGAACACAUUAUCGAGAUACUUGACUUGACCUCCAGACUGAGGCAAUUGAAAACAAAAAUCAAGGAACUCGGAUUUAUAUGGCUCUGCCAGUCUAAGAUUUAAAAUUCGAGAAGUUUUGGCAACAUUCAAGAGAUUCUGGCUAAGGAUUCCAGUAGAUGGAGGUUAGAAGAGUGUAUGGUAUAAAUUUGGUUGUAUUUGGGGUGAGUUGAUGUUUUGGUCCAUAUUUUGAUCUAAUAUUCGAGACGUUUGGCUAUGUUUUGAGAGAAACUGAGCCCGGAUAUGGAAAGAGGAGGUAAAGGGGAACUUUGGUGAAAUUUUGGGUAGAUUUGAAACAUCGCCGCUAGCAGAGGCGAUUUCUGGCCAGCGGCGGACAGCAGAAGGGGUACGGUGGUGAUACAGCUGCGUUACAGGAGAGAGGGUUGGUACAAGGAAGAUGGGAUUUGUCUAGGGUUAAUGGGAUUUUUAGGACACGUUUAUUUAAAAUUGAAGGAUCA
RNAcentral lists this long non-coding RNA (3081 nucleotides) under Nicotiana benthamiana. RNAcentral describes it as "long non-coding RNA (NBEN_LNC031306)". The record is from RNAcentral. Lineage: Eukaryota; Viridiplantae; Streptophyta; Magnoliopsida; Solanales; Solanaceae.